Molecule: non-coding RNA, 2048 nt
Organism: Paramisgurnus dabryanus
Lineage: Eukaryota; Metazoa; Chordata; Actinopteri; Cypriniformes; Cobitidae
Source: RefSeq, a predicted model, not a curated record
CAUCGUGUCAAAUAAGAAACGAAUAAAAACCAUCUCAUUCGAGGAAAUUGACUCUUGGACAUGGAUUAUCGUGAUAAUAACUAUUUAAAAUAAUAAUCACGUUUGGAGAAACUGUAUUUGAGGAGUAGGCAAGUGUCAUUUUUAUGAAAAGUGCGGGACCUGUAGCAAUAAUAAUAGCCAGCCACGAGGGGUCUCACUUUGACUGAAUUUUAUGUCCUCGCUCAUCAUGUCAUCACUCUGUCAUGUUCGCAUGCUUAAUUGCCAGCAAGAGCCUGUAUCCCCGCCCGCCCCGACCAGGUACGGUAACCGUUAACGUUACUGUCGUUCAAAAUGUCCAACGAAUCGGCUUUAGUUGAGAGCAUCGGCAGAGCCGUCCUGGCGGCUAUCCAAAAUGUUUCAACAACGACAACAACCGCCUCCGGGCCACCACAUCGGUUCCCACCACUUACAAUUACACACCGGGGCCAGCCACACCCACCACCUCCACUGGGACAUCAUACCGCUCGGGCUCUAGCACCAGCGUUACCACACCUUUACCAGCAACAGACUUCGCUCCAGUGACCUGUCUGUCAAAUGACUACCAAGGAAGACAUCAGAUUUCCAAAGAGGAGCUUGAACAUGUUCUUUCACUGAAAACCACCUUUACAGAAGCGGCAUCUAUUCUUUCAAUCUCAAGGCCAACUUUCUACAAGUUACUAACUGCAAGACUAUAAUAUCCCAACAUCAAAAUUUAAGAGCAUCAGUGAUCAACAGUUGGAUCUUGAAGUGUCACACAUAAAAACUGAACACCCAAAUGUUGGAGAAGUGAUGCUUAUGGGGCAUCUCCGCUCCAAAAACAUUGUGGUUCAAAGACAACGUGUAAGAGAUUCUCUGCGAAGAAUGGACCCAAUUGGUGUCCUAGCCAGGAGAAGAACAGCAAUAGCUCGGCGAGUAUACUCUGUCCCCCACCCAAAUUUCAUAUGGCAUGUAGAUGGAAAUCAUAAGUUGAUUAGGUGGAAAUUAGUUGUUCAUGGUGCCAUAGACGGCUACAGUAGGAUGUUGAUGUUUCUUCACUGCUCCAACAAUAAUCGUGCUGAAACUUUUAAAGACCUCUUUACUGCAGCUGUUGGACAGUUUGGCAGACCACUGCACAUCAGGACUGAUCACGGAGGAGAAAACGUUCAGAUUUGGGAGGACAUGCAUGCGAGCAGGGGGGAAGGCUCUGUGUUAACAGGAAGUUCUGUACACAACCAGAGGAAAGAGCGUUUUAAUCGAAACUUGAACAAAAACUGCAGCCAUGUUUAUGCACCCAUUUUUUUAUGAACUGGAAUCCCUGGGUAUCCUAGACAUUGACAAUGCAACAGACCUAUUUUGUCUCCAUUAUGUCUUUCUACCCCGAAUCAACCGCACUUUGGAGGAAUUCAAAGCUGGAUUUAACAAUCACUCUAUAUCAUCUGAAGGAAAUAGAACACCAGUUCAGCUUUUUACUCUGGACAAUGAUUUGCCUCAUUUUCACAACCCAGAACGCUCAACAGCAGGGGUAGUUUUUUGUUCCUCACACAACUAUCAAAGAGGAUUUUCCCCAUUGAAUGAUAGGGAUUUGCAAGAACUGAAUGCUGCCAUUAACCCUCUUCAAAAUGACAACAACAAUGGCAAAACAUUGUUUCAGAGAACACAACAGUUUAUUUUUGAUAAACUCGUAAAUGUGUGACUUCAGCAUAACAUGGACAACUGGGUAACACUAGCCUUUUUGUACUUUCAAAAGUACACAACACAAAUAUUGAUGUUUUGUUGUGCUUCUUGAACUACAAGAUUUCAAACCUCUUGCCAGCAUAUAGAUGUUUGAAAAUUACAUGGCGGCACAUACUUGAUGUCAGUGUUAAAAAGGCUACAGACGCACUUUUGCAUCUGUUAGUUUUCUGUCAAGUCAAAAGCAAUGGUAGUGUGGAUAAAAACAAGAUGACUCAUGUUAUGUGAAAGAACAGUAAAAUACUUUUUAGGCUCUACAGAUUGUCUACAGACAGUAUUGAUACAUAACUGAUUUCCACUACAUUGUUCUUGUUUUUUAA